Molecule: transfer RNA, 71 nt
Filed under: Escherichia coli
Lineage: Bacteria; Pseudomonadati; Pseudomonadota; Gammaproteobacteria; Enterobacterales; Enterobacteriaceae
Also listed under: 3 other names
Description: tRNA-Ala
Rfam family: tRNA
About the family: Transfer RNA (tRNA) molecules are approximately 80 nucleotides in length. Their secondary structure includes four short double-helical elements and three loops (D, anti-codon, and T loops). Further hydrogen bonds mediate the characteristic L-shaped molecular structure. tRNAs have two regions of fundamental functional importance: the anti-codon, which is responsible for specific mRNA codon recognition, and the 3' end, to which the tRNAs corresponding amino acid is attached (by aminoacyl-tRNA synthetases). tRNAs cope with the degeneracy of the genetic code in two manners: having more than one tRNA (with a specific anti-codon) for a particular amino acid; and 'wobble' base-pairing, i.e. permitting non-standard base-pairing at the 3rd anti-codon position.
Source: RNAcentral
UAUAGCUCAGCUGGGAGAGCGCUUGCAUGGCAUGCAAGAGGUCAGCGGUUCGAUCCCGCUUAGCUCCACCA